CCUACGGGAGGCAGCAGUGAGGAAUAUUGGUCAAUGGGCGGAAGCCUGAACCAGCCAAGUCGCGUGAGGGAAUAAGGCCCUACGGGUCGUGAACCUCUUUUGCCGGGGAGCAAGGGCCGGGACGUGUCCCGGCCCGGAGAGUACCCGGAGAAAAAGCAUCGGCUAACUCCGUGCCAGCAGCCGCGGUAAUACGGAGGAUGCGAGCGUUGUCCGGAUUUAUUGGGUUUAAAGGGUGCGUAGGCGGGCUUUUAAGUCAGCGGUAAAAAUUCGGGGCUCAACCCCGUCCGGCCGUUGAAACUGGGGGG
This 305-nucleotide ribosomal RNA is filed under the name uncultured bacterium. Its description in RNAcentral is "bacterial SSU rRNA". It matches the Rfam family "Bacterial small subunit ribosomal RNA", at positions 338 to 640 of the family's 1533-position model. The record is from RNAcentral.